UAGGGAAUCUUCCGCAAUGGGCGAAAGCCUGACGGAGCAACGCCGCGUGAGUGAUGAAGGUCUUCGGAUCGUAAAACUCUGUUAUUAGGGAAGAACAUAUGUGUAAGUAACUGUGCACAUCUUGACGGUACCUAAUCAGAAAGCCACGGCUAACUACGUGCCAGCAGCCGCGGUAAUACGUAGGUGGCAAGCGUUAUCCGGAAUUAUUGGGCGUAAAGCGCGCGUAGGCGGUUUUUUAAGUCUGAUGUGAAAGCCCACGGCUCAACCGUGGAGGGUCAUUGGAAACUGGAAAACUUGAGUGCAGAAGAGGAAAGUGGAAUUCCAUGUGUAGCGGUGAAAUGCGCAGAGAUAUGGAGGAACAUCAGUGGCGAAGGCGACUUUCUGGUCUGUAACUGACGCUGAUGUGCGAAAGCGUGGGGAUCAAACAGGAUUAGAUACCCUGGUAGUCCACGCCGUAAACGAUGAGUGCUAAGUGUUAGGGGGUUUCCGCCCCUUAGUGCUGCAGCUAACGCAUUAAGCACUCCGCCUGGGGAGUACGACCCCAAGGUUG
RNAcentral lists this ribosomal RNA (550 nucleotides) under uncultured bacterium. Its description in RNAcentral is "bacterial SSU rRNA". It matches the Rfam family "Bacterial small subunit ribosomal RNA", at positions 355 to 896 of the family's 1533-position model. The record is from RNAcentral.